AUUUCUAAGACAACUAGGAUGUUGGCUUAGAAGCAGCCACUCAUUAAAAGAGUGCGUAAUAGCUCACUAGUCAAGAGAUCCUGCGCCGAAAAUGUCCGGGGCUCAAACUUACCACCGAAGCUACGGGUUCAUACUUUGUAUGAGCGGUAGAGGAGCGUCGUAAUCGGGCUGAAGUCGUACCGUAAGGAGCGGUGGACUGAUUACGAGUGAGAAUGUUGGCAUUAGUAGCGAGAUGUGGGUGAGAAUCCCACAGGCCGAAUAUCUAAGGUUUCCUCAGGAAGGUUCGUCCGCUGAGGGUUAGUCGGGACCUAAGCCGAGGCCGAAAGGCGUAGGCGAUGGACAAUCGGUUGAUAUUCCGAUACCACUACUGAUCGUUAUUAUCGAUGGUGUGACGGAGAAGGAUAGAGUGUGCUAGCUAUUGGAUGCUAGUCUAAGCGUUUAGGGAGUUAGGAAAGGCAAAUCCGUCCUAACAAUUCUGAGGCGUGAUGGGGAAGGUUCUACGGAACCGAAGUACUUGAUUCCAUGCUUCCAAGAAAAGCAUCUAGAGAGAGAUGUAGUGCCCGUACCGCAAACCGACACAGGUAGAUGAGGAGAGAAUCCUAAGGCCGGCGGAAGAAUCACAGUUAAGGAACUAGGCAAAUUGACCCCGUAACUUAGGGAGAAGGGGUGCCUGUGAGAGCAGGCCGCAGAGAAUAGGCCCAAGCAACUGUUUAGCAAAAACACAGGUCUCUGCUAAAGCGUAAGCUGAUGUAUAGGGGCUGACGCCUGCCCGGUGCUGGAAGGUUAAGGGGAACACUUAGCGCAAGCGAAGGUGUGAACUUAAGCCCCAGUAAACGGCGGCCGUAACUAUAACGGUCCUAAGGUAGCGAAAUUCCUUGUCGGGUAAGUUCCGACCCGCACGAAUGGCGUAAUGAUUUGGGCACUGUCUCAACAGCAAAUCCGGCGAAAUUGUAGUGCAAGUGAAGAUGCUUGCUACCCGCGAUUGGACGGAAAGACCCCGUAGAGCUUUACUGUAGCUUAGCAUUGAAUUUCGGUAUUGUCUGUACAGGAUAGGUGGGAGACUGGGAAAUUAGGGCGUCAGCCUUAAUGGAGUCGUUGUUGGGAUACCACCCUGAUAGUAUUGAAGUUCUAACUGGAUGCCAUGAAACUGGUGACAGGACAUUGUUAGGUGGGCAGUUUGACUGGGGCGGUCGCCUCCUAAAAUGUAACGGAGGCGCCCAAAGGUUCCCUCAGAACGGUCGGAAAUCGUUCGUAGAGUGUAAAGGCAUAAGGGAGCCUGACUGCGAGACCUACAAGUCGAGCAGGGACGAAAGUCGGGCUUAGUGAUCCGGUGGUUCCGCAUGGAAGGGCCAUCGCUCAACGGAUAAAAGCUACCCUGGGGAUAACAGGCUUAUCUCCCCCAAGAGUCCACAUCGACGGGGAGGUUUGGCACCUCGAUGUCGGCUCGUCGCAUCCUGGGGCUGAAGUAGGUCCCAAGGGUUGGGCUGUUCGCCCAUUAAAGCGGCACGCGAGCUGGGUUCAGAACGUCGUGAGACAGUUCGGUCCCUAUCCGCCGCGGGCGUAGGAAAUUUGAGAGGAGCUGUCCUUAGUACGAGAGGACCGGGAUGGACUGACCUCUGGUGUACCAGUUGUUCCGCCAGGAGCACAGCUGGGUAGCUAAGUCGGGAAGGGAUAAACGCUGAAAGCAUCUAAGCGUGAAGCCCACCUCAAGAUGAGAUUUCCCAUAGCAUAAGCUAGUAAGACCCCUUGA
This 1750-nucleotide ribosomal RNA is filed under the name human gut metagenome. RNAcentral describes it as "bacterial LSU rRNA". It matches the Rfam family "Bacterial large subunit ribosomal RNA", at positions 1080 to 2841 of the family's 2925-position model. The record is from RNAcentral.